This is a long non-coding RNA of Podarcis raffonei (Aeolian wall lizard), 211 nucleotides long. RefSeq lists it as uncharacterized. NCBI's taxonomy places the organism in Eukaryota, Metazoa, Chordata, Lepidosauria, Squamata, Lacertidae. The record is from RefSeq and is a predicted model, not a curated record. The transcript is spliced from 3 exons.
GCUCCCUUUCCUUUCCUAAAGAAGCUGCAGAACUAUCAGGAGCUCAAAACACGGGUAAAGCAAGGCUGGGCGAUGACUAGAGCACAAGGGGUGAAAGAUGUCCUGUGAAGUUGACCAAGUGCAAGAGGAGUGAUGGCGAGGCCUCCAUCGCACCCUCAAGAUUCUGCAAAAUUCACUUUGGCUGAAAAGAAAUCCAGUGGGUUAAAUAGUG